AUUGAACGCUGGCGGCAGGCCUAACACAUGCAAGUCGAGCGGAUGAAGGGAGCUUGCUCCUGGAUUCAGCGGCGGACGGGUGAGUAAUGCCUAGGAAUCUGCCUGGUCGUGGGGGAUAACGUCCGGAAACGGGCGCUAAUACCGCAUACGUCCUGAGGUAGAAAGUGGGGGAUCUUCGGACCUCACGCUAUCAGAUGAGCCUAGGUCGGAUUAGCUAGUUGGUGGGGUAAAGGCCUACCGAGGCGACGAUCCGUAACUGGUCUGAGAGGAUGAUCAGUCACACUGGAACUGAGACACGGUCCAGACUCCUACGGGAGGCAGCAGUGGGGAAUAUUGGACAAUGGGCGAAAGCCUGAUCCAGCAAUGCCGCGUGUGUGAAGAAGGUCUUCGGAUUGUAAAGCACUGUAAGUUGGGAGGAAGGGAAGUAAGUUAAUACCUUGCUGUUUUGACGGUACCAACAGAAUAAGCACCGGCUAACUUCGUG
This 484-nucleotide ribosomal RNA is filed under the name uncultured bacterium. RNAcentral describes it as "partial 16S ribosomal RNA". It matches the Rfam family "Bacterial small subunit ribosomal RNA", at positions 30 to 507 of the family's 1533-position model. The record is from RNAcentral.